GGGUGAGUAAUGCUUAGGAAUCUGCCAUUUAGUGGGGGACAACAUUCCGAAAGGAAUGCUAAUACCGCAUACGUCCUACGGGAGAAAGCAGGGGAUCUUCGGACCUUGCGCUAAAUGAUGAGCCUAAGUCGGAUUAGCUAGUUGGUGGGGUAAAGGCCUACCAAGGCGACGAUCUGUAGCGGGUCUGAGAGGAUGAUCCGCCACACUGGGACUGAGACACGGCCCAGACUCCUACGGGAGGCAGCAGUGGGGAAUAUUGGACAAUGGGCGGAAGCCUGAUCCAGCCAUGCCGCGUGUGUGAAGAAGGCCUUUUGGUUGUAAAGCACUUUAAGCGAGGAGGAGGCUACUAGUACUAAUACUACUGGAUAGUGGACGUUACUCGCAGAAUAAGCACCGGCUAACUCUGUGCCAGCAGCCGCGGUAAUACAGAGGGUGCGAGCGUUAAUCGGAUUUACUGGGCGUAAAGCGUGCGUAGGCGGCUGAUUAAGUCGGAUGUGAAAUCCCUGAGCUUAACUUAGGAAUUGCAUUCGAUACUGGUCAGCUAGAGUAUGGGAGAGGAUGGUAGAAUUCCAGGUGUAGCGGUGAAAUGCGUAGAGAUCUGGAGGAAUACCGAUGGCGAAGGCAGCCAUCUGGCCUAAUACUGACGCUGAGGUACGAAAGCAUGGGGAGCAAACAGGAUUAGAUACCCUGGUAGUCCAUGCCGUAAACGAUGUCUACUAGCCGUUGGGGCCU
RNAcentral lists this ribosomal RNA (732 nucleotides) under Acinetobacter sp. Its description in RNAcentral is "bacterial SSU rRNA". It matches the Rfam family "Bacterial small subunit ribosomal RNA", at positions 104 to 831 of the family's 1533-position model. The record is from RNAcentral. Lineage: Bacteria; Pseudomonadati; Pseudomonadota; Gammaproteobacteria; Moraxellales; Moraxellaceae.